This 515-nucleotide ribosomal RNA is filed under the name uncultured bacterium. Its description in RNAcentral is "bacterial SSU rRNA". It matches the Rfam family "Bacterial small subunit ribosomal RNA", at positions 9 to 526 of the family's 1533-position model. The record is from RNAcentral.
GAGUUUGAUCCUGGCUCAGGAUGAACGCUGGCGGCGUGCCUAACACAUGCAAGUCGAACGAAGCACCUUACCUGAUUCUUCGGAUGAAGGUCUGGUGACUGAGUGGCGGACGGGUGAGUAACGCGUGGGUAACCUGCCUCAUACAGGGGGAUAACAGUUAGAAAUGACUGCUAAUACCGCAUAAGACCACAGCACCGCAUGGUGCAGGGGUAAAAACUCCGGUGGUACAGGAUGGACCCGCGUCUGAUUAGGCAGUUGGCGGGGUAACGGCCCACCAAACCGACGAUCAGUAGCCGGCCUGAGAGGGCGACCGGCCACAUUGGGACUGAGACACGGCCCAAACUCCUACGGGAGGCAGCAGUGGGGAAUAUUGCACAAUGGGGGAAACCCUGAUGCAGCGACGCCGCGUGAGCGAAGAAGUAUUUCGGUAUGUAAAGCUCUAUCAGCAGGGAAGAUAAUGACGGUACCUGACUAAGAAGCCCCGGCUAACUACGUGCCAGCCGCCGCGGUAAUUC